Molecule: ribosomal RNA, 678 nt
Filed under: uncultured bacterium
Lineage: Bacteria
Description: bacterial SSU rRNA
Rfam family: Bacterial small subunit ribosomal RNA
Source: RNAcentral
GGCGACGGUGAGUAAUGCCUAGGAAUCUGCCUGGUAGUGGGGAUAACGUUCGGAAACGGACGCUAAUACCGCAUACGUCCUACGGGAGAAAGCAGGGGACCUUCGGGCCCUUGCGCUAUCAGAUGAGCCUAGGUCGGAUUAGCUAGUUGGUGGGGUAAUGGCUCACCAAGGCGACGAUCCGUAACUGGUCUGAGAGGAUGAUCAGUCACACUGGAACUGAGACACGGUCCAGACUCCUACGGGAGGCAGCAGUGGGGAAUAUUGGACAAUGGGCGAAAGCCUGAUCCAGCCAUGCCGCGUGUGUGAAGAAGGUCUUCGGAUUGUAAAGCACUUUAAGUUGGGAGGAAGGGUUGUAGAUUAAUACUCUGCAAUUUUGACGUUACCGACAGAAUAAGCACCGGCUAACUCUGUGCCAGCAGCCGCGGUAAUACAGAGGGUGCAAGCGUUAAUCGGAAUUACUGGGCGUAAAGCGCGCGUAGGUGGUUAGUUAAGUUGGAUGUGAAAUCUCCGGGCUCAACCUGGGAACUGCAUUCAAAACUGACUGACUAGAGUAUGGUAGAGGGUGGUGGAAUUUCCUGUGUAGCGGUGAAAUGCGUAGAUAUAGGAAGGAACACCAGUGGCGAAGGCGACCACCUGGACUGAUACUGACACUGAGGUGCGAAAGCGUGGGGAGCAAAC